Molecule: signal recognition particle RNA, 97 nt
Filed under: Mesorhizobium sp.
Lineage: Bacteria; Pseudomonadati; Pseudomonadota; Alphaproteobacteria; Hyphomicrobiales; Phyllobacteriaceae
Description: signal recognition particle sRNA small type
Rfam family: Bacterial small signal recognition particle RNA
About the family: The signal recognition particle (SRP) is a universally conserved ribonucleoprotein involved in the co-translational targeting of proteins to membranes. Archaeal SRP consists of a 7S RNA and homologues of the eukaryotic SRP19 and SRP54 proteins.
Source: RNAcentral
GGAGGUUGGUGGUGGACGGUCCACUCGCCAACCGGGUCAGGUCCGGAAGGAAGCAGCCCUAACGAGCUCGGAACGGGUCAUUGUUCCAGCCUCCCAC